Non-coding RNA from Rattus norvegicus (Norway rat), 175 nucleotides. The record is from RefSeq and is a predicted model, not a curated record. Lineage: Eukaryota; Metazoa; Chordata; Mammalia; Rodentia; Muridae.
UCACUGAGAACUGCCAUCUCCUACCUGCUAAACAGCUUUCCUUACAUUUACCAGAUUCGAGGGUGUCCUUUCCAGGAAUAAAGAAAAGGACUGUUUACUGCACGAUCUCUUGAUAUCACGGAACAAUUCUUCCAACACUACAAAGUGAAAUCUCAUAAAGAAAUGGGUACCCGAA